GAAGAGAAUGACCAGCGUAGUCAUGUAUGAGGACUGAAACAUGAGGCAACCAAAUGGAAAUCCACACGGCUUCACAGCUGCACUAAGGGGUAGAGGCUGCUGAGAGUAAUAUCGUCAGACUUAACUUCCUGCUGCUGUUCUGGUCUUUGAAGCCUGUACAUUCUCAAACUACCAGCUCGUGGACAACUGCGUGAAGCAUUUCUGGGUUGGAGUCGGUCAUUCAGAGGCAGAGAUACUUGCGCAUGGAUGGAAUGACAGACAAUCCGUAGUAGGAAUACAUCAGAACAUGGAUAAAACUAUUCAAGGUUUCUGCCCCUGGUUCUAUUUACUACCAUAGCAAUUUAGCUUUGGGAGAAGCAUUUUUCACUGCUGGGGCUAGUAGGCUGCUGUUGCCAUUGCGUCUCCAUCAUGCAUGCUCUAACCUGUAAAGGAGGAUUGAUUCCUCCAAAAUAAAGCUCCUUAAUGGGUGCAUGCUGGAGCAAGCCAGGGGAGGUGUUUGGUGAUGGAGUUGAGAUCUUAGUUCAUUAAACUGACAGAAACAGUUGAGAAUGGAGCCAUGACUACCUAGGAAGCUUCAUGGUAUAAAUUGCUAAAAGGAUCAGAAUGAAAACAGAUUACAGGACAUGAAUGGGUACUUGUCUCAUACAGCAACUGGAACAUCUGCAGCUCCCCUUCUCUCAGGAUGGUGAACUGAGUAAACUACUUGGAACUUAUCUAGAUACUAGCCAAUUGCCCAUCAAGAAUAAUGGUGGCCGGGGUAGGAGAAAGGUUGUCUGGGAUGGCGUGCCGCCACCUAACGCCCCAUACUGCUGCUGUUCUUGCUCUUGCAGGGAGCAGGGUGGGGGAGUCUCCCCCACCCCCUGUCCAAUACUCAGUACGGCUUCAGAAUCAUGGCAGCACUCCACCAUGCUUGGAGUACUUUGAUUGGCUGUUUCCAUCAGCCAAUCAGAGUGAGAAUAAAGCAUUACAGAUGGACAGACGUAGGUUUUUAUAAUAUUAGAUAUAGCUUGCUGUAAUGUAGAUGCACAUCAAACAGCUACUUAGCUGAUACUGUUUGCUCUAAGGUUAUUCUUUGAUAUUUCUCUAACCUGUACCCUUUCCAAGCCUACUCUCUGUAACCAAUAAAGG
Alligator mississippiensis (American alligator) is the source of this 1128-nucleotide long non-coding RNA. RefSeq lists it as uncharacterized. The transcript is spliced from 4 exons. NCBI's taxonomy places the organism in Eukaryota, Metazoa, Chordata, Crocodylia, Alligatoridae. The record is from RefSeq and is a predicted model, not a curated record.